Molecule: ribosomal RNA, 620 nt
Filed under: uncultured Campylobacterota bacterium
Lineage: Bacteria; Pseudomonadati; Campylobacterota
Description: bacterial SSU rRNA
Rfam family: Bacterial small subunit ribosomal RNA
Source: RNAcentral
AUGAUGGAGAGCUUGCUCUCCUGAUUAGUGGCGCACGGGUGAGUAUACCAUAGAUAAUGUACCUCUUAGUUCGGGAUAGCCACUGGAAACGGUGAUUAAUACCGGAUACUCCUUCUUGUCUCAAGGCAAGUCGGGAAAGUUUUUUCGCUAAGGGAUCAGUCUAUGUCCUAUCAGCUAGUUGGUGAGGUAAUGGCUCACCAAGGCUAUGACGGGUAUCUGGUUUGAGAGGAUGAUCAGACACACUGGAACUGAGACACGGUCCAGACUCCUACGGGAGGCAGCAGUGAGGAAUAUUGCACAAUGGAGGAAACUCUGAUGCAGCAACGCCGCGUGGAGGAUGACGCAUUUCGGUGUGUAAACUCCUUUUAAGAGGGAAGAUAAUGACGGUACCUCUUGAAUAAGCACCGGCUAACUCCGUGCCAGCAGCCGCGGUAAUACGGAGGGUGCAAGCGUUACUCGGAAUCACUGGGCGUAAAGGGUGCGUAGGCUGGCUUUUAAGUCAGAUGUGAAAUCCAAUGGCUUAACCAUUGAACUGCAUUUGAAACUGGGAGCCUAGAGUUCAGAAGGGGCAGAUGGAAUUAGUGGUGUAGGGGUAAAAUCCGUAGAUAUCACUAGGAAUA